This 372-nucleotide ribosomal RNA is filed under the name uncultured organism. RNAcentral's name for it is "partial 16S ribosomal RNA". It matches the Rfam family "Bacterial small subunit ribosomal RNA", at positions 527 to 896 of the family's 1533-position model. The record is from RNAcentral.
GUAGGUGGCAAGCGUUGUCCGGAAUUAUUGGGCGUAAAGCGCGCGCAGGCGGUUCUUUAAGUCUGAUGUGAAAGCCCACGGCUCAACCGUGGAGGGUCAUUGGAAACUGGAGAACUUGAGUACAGAAGAGGAAAGCGGAAUUCCACGUGUAGCGGUGAAAUGCGUAGAGAUGUGGAGGAACACCAGUGGCGAAGGCGGCUUUCUGGUCUGUAACUGACGCUGAGGCGCGAAAGCGGGGGGAGCAAACAGGGAUUAGAUACCCUGGUAGUCCACGCCGUAAACGAUGAGUGCUAAGUGUUAGGGGGUUUCCGCCCCCUUAGUGCUGCAGCUAACGCAUUAAGCACUCCGCCUGGGGAUACGGCCGCAAGGCUG